GCGCCUAUAGCUUAAUGGUAAAGCUCCGCUCUGUGGCAGCGGUCAUACGGGUCCGAUUCCCGUUAGGCGCC
Molecule: transfer RNA, 71 nt
Filed under: Candidatus Harrisonbacteria bacterium RIFCSPHIGHO2_02_FULL_40_20
Lineage: Bacteria; Candidatus Harrisoniibacteriota
Also listed under: 1 other name
Description: tRNA-His
Rfam family: tRNA
About the family: Transfer RNA (tRNA) molecules are approximately 80 nucleotides in length. Their secondary structure includes four short double-helical elements and three loops (D, anti-codon, and T loops).
Source: RNAcentral